RNAcentral lists this microRNA (24 nucleotides) under Eptesicus fuscus (big brown bat). RNAcentral's name for it is "efu-miR-9349". The record is from miRBase by way of RNAcentral. Lineage: Eukaryota; Metazoa; Chordata; Mammalia; Chiroptera; Vespertilionidae.
UUGGCUGCUGAGCCUGAACAGGCU